This 727-nucleotide ribosomal RNA is filed under the name uncultured Staphylococcus sp. RNAcentral's name for it is "bacterial SSU rRNA". It matches the Rfam family "Bacterial small subunit ribosomal RNA", at positions 67 to 780 of the family's 1533-position model. The record is from RNAcentral. Lineage: Bacteria; Bacillati; Bacillota; Bacilli; Caryophanales; Staphylococcaceae.
CGGACGAGAAGCUUGCUUCUCUGAUGUUAGCGGCGGACGGGUGAGUAACACGUGGAUAACCUACCUAUAAGACUGGGAUAACUUCGGGAAACCGGAGCUAAUACCGGAUAAUAUUUUGAACCGCAUGGUUCAAAAGUGAAAGACGGUCUUGCUGUCACUUAUAGAUGGAUCCGCGCUGCAUUAGCUAGUUGGUAAGGUAACGGCUUACCAAGGCAACGAUGCAUAGCCGACCUGAGAGGGUGAUCGGCCACACUGGAACUGAGACACGGUCCAGACUCCUACGGGAGGCGGCAGUAGGGAAUCUUCCGCAAUGGGCGAAAGCCUGACGGAGCAACGCCGCGUGAGUGAUGAAGGUCUUCGGAUCGUAAAACUCUGUUAUUAGGGAAGAACACAUGUGUAAGUAACUGUGCACAUCUUGACGGUACCUAAUCAGAAAGCCACGGCUAACUACGUGCCAGCAGCCGCGGUAAUACGUAGGUGGCAAGCGUUAUCCGGAAUUAUUGGGCGUAAAGCGCGCGUAGGCGGUUUUUUAAGUCUGAUGUGAAAGCCCACGGCUCAACCGUGGAGGGUCAUUGGAAACUGGAAAACUUGAGUGCAGAAGAGGAAAGUGGAAUUCCAUGUGUAGCGGUGAAAUGCGCAGAGAUAUGGAGGAACACCAGUGGCGAAGGCGACUUUCUGGUCUGUAACUGACGCUGAUGUGCGAAAGCGUGGGGAUCAAACAGGAUUA